RNA transcript from Zingiber officinale, 4782 nucleotides. It is a transcript of the gene named myosin-1-like, with no coding region annotated. The transcript has 26 exons. NCBI's taxonomy places the organism in Eukaryota, Viridiplantae, Streptophyta, Magnoliopsida, Zingiberales, Zingiberaceae. The record is from RefSeq and is a predicted model, not a curated record.
UACGGAUUCCUGUGCGAAAUUUUGAAUCGAGUUCCCGGCGAAGCAAACCCUAGUUGCUUCUCUUUCGAAGCGAGCGCUGCUUGUUCCCAUCGUCUCUUCCUCUGAGGCACUCUGGAAUUUGGAAUCAGACAACAACCUCCGCUUCCCUGCUUCGUGUUUUGAACUUCCUUCAACGUUGCAGCUUUUUCUCGGACAGUGUAUGGUUGAAACUAGUUUCCAGCGUUAGGAGUUUUGGCCGGGAUCGAUGUCAGGUUCGUACUGCGGGAAGCCAUGGAAAGACUGAAAUAACCGGAGAAAGCUGGUUUUUAGGUAGUAGCUGUUCAUUUUGAGGCGUUUCAAAUCAUGUUGUCAGCGGCGGCUACAUCUCCUUCGAUCGUUCGAAGUUCCCUUGAGGUGAUGCUGGAUUCCAUCAGGAUGAAGGAGGAGCAGCCAAAAGAUCUUCCACCUGCUUUGCCUGUCCGUCCCACCGCGAGAGGGCGCCUUCCUACUUCAAAAAGGUCCGUGGCUGUCAAUCUUAAAGUCGGACAAAGUGCAUCUGAGGAAAUUUUAAGGGGUCACGUCAAACGGGAUUUUGAGAAUGAAGAGAAAAUGCGAAGGGGUGAUAAAGAGGUGGUGUUUAGGAGUGGUGUAUUUGAUAGUAAGAAAGUGCGGAGGCUUGAGCGUCCAGAAGAGUCUCCCUAUGUCAUGAUGACGAAGCUAGAGAACCACGGAAAAAAGGUGGAGGUGAAUGAUUCAAGGCCUUCUUCUGUAGCACUGCCAUCAUCCAUCCCACGGAACAAGAAGUUGGGGAAGAGUGGCACUAGUGAAUGUGCCGUGAAGAAGAAUAUGCAAGUUUGGUGCUGGACUCAGGAAGCGAAGUGGGAGCUAGGUCACAUUCAAACAGUUUCAGGGGACAAUGUGAAAAUCUUGUUAUCUGAUGGAAAUGUUCUUUUGGUUACUGGUGAAGAUCUCUUGCCCGCCAACCCUCAUAUCCUUGAUGGUGUUGAUGAUCUUAUACAGCUUAGUUAUUUGAAUGAACCAUCAGUUCUCCACAAUCUUAGAUACCGCUACUCUUGUGAUAGUGUUUAUACUAAAGCAGGACCUGUUUUGGUUGCAAUCAAUCCAUUUAAAGAGGUACCCUUUUAUGGAAAAGAUUAUAUUACAGCAUACAAGCAGAAGCUCACAGAGAGCCCACAUGUCUUUGCAAUAGCAGAUUCUGCUUUUAAUGAAAUGAGGAGAGAUGGUGUAAAUCAAUCUAUUAUAAUAAGUGGUGAAAGUGGUGCCGGUAAAACUGAGACUGCAAAAUUCGCAAUGCUGUAUCUUGCAGAUCUCGGGGGUGGUUGUGGCAUAGAGGAUGAGGUUUUGCAGAGUAACUCGAUACUGGAAGCAUUUGGAAAUGCAAAAACUUCAAGAAAUGAUAACUCAAGCAGAUUUGGGAAACUUAUUGAAAUAAAUUUCAGUACUGCUGGAAAAAUUGGUGGUGCUAAAAUUCAAACUUUUUUACUUGAAAAGUCAAGGGUAGUUCAGAGACCAACAGGUGAAAGAUCAUAUCAUGUUUUCUAUCAACUUUGUGCUGGAGCUGCUCCGAGUCUCAAAGAGGAGUUGAAUCUAAGAACUGCUGAUGAAUAUGAAUAUUUGAAGCAAAGUAACUGCUUGACCAUAGACUAUGUUGAUGAUGCUCAGAGAUUUCACAAAUUAAUGGAAGCCUUGGAUGUCAUUCAAAUAUCUAAGCAAAAUCAAAAGCAUCUCUUCUCUACACUUACUGCAGUAUUAUGGCUGGGUAAUAUUUGCUUCUCAGUGGUAGAUAAUGAAAACCAUGUUGAAGUGGUCCUUGGUGAAGGAGUAGCUAAUGCAGCAAAGUUGAUGGAUUGUGAAAUACCUGAUUUAAUGCUAGCUUUAUCAACUCGUAAAAUCCAAGCUGGCAAUGAUAAUAUUAUCCAAAAGCUUACAUUACAGCAGGCAAUUGACACCCGGGAUGCAUUGGCAAAAACAAUGUAUUCUAGCUUAUUUGACUGGCUUGUCGAACAAAUUAACACAUCACUUGAAGUAGGAAAAUGCUACGCUGGACAAUCCAUUAGCAUUUUGGAUAUUUUCGGAUUUGAAUCUUUUCAUAAAAACGGUUUUGAACAGUUUUGCAUAAAUUAUUGUAAUGAGAAGCUACAACAACACUUCAAUCGCCACCUAUUUAAACUUGAACAGGAGGAAUAUGCCCAAGAUGGAAUUGACUGGGACAAAGUUGAAUUUGUGGAUAAUACUGAUUGCCUCAAUCUCUUUGAAAAGAAACCUUUAGGGCUAAUAUCCCUUUUGGACGAAGAGUCUACUUUUCCUAAAGCAUCAGAUCUAACUUUUGCUAACAAGCUCAUGCAGCACUUGACUGGUGACAACUGCUUUAAGGGGGAAAGAGGAGGUGCUUUUAGAAUUUCCCAUUAUGCUGGAGAGGUUUCAUAUGAUUCAAAUGGUUUCUUGGAGAAGAACAGAGAUACAUUGCAUACAGAUUUAGUCCAGCUUCUUGUUUCCUGUGCUCACCUGCUUCCCAAAUCAUUUCUCUACAACACACUGCAGUCUGAGAAGGAUCAAAGCCCGUUUCGACAACUAGGUAGUGUUGAUCUACGGAAGCUAAGUGUUGUGGCGAAAUUUAAGGGACAACUUUUCAAGUUGAUGCAAAGGUUAGAAAGUACUACUCCACAUUUUAUACGAUGUAUCAAGCCAAAUAGCAAGCAACUCGCAGGCUUGUACCAGCAUGAUCUUGUCUUACAACAGCUAAGAUGGUGUGGUGUUCUUGAAGUUGUCCGGAUAUCCAGAUCAGGCUAUCCAACUCGUAUAAAACAUCAACUAUUUGUUGAACGGUAUGGGUUUCUUCUCAUAAGAAAUUCAAAGCCUCAUGAUUCACUCAGUUUAGCAGUUGCCAUACUACAACAAUUCAAUGUGGCACCUGAGAUGUAUAGAGUGGGCUACACAAAGUUAUUUUUCCGAACAGGACAGAUUGCUACACUGGAAGAAGCUCGAAAUCAAGUUUUACGGGGGGUUGUUAAAGUUCAAAAGAACUUCCGUUGUUUUCAAGCCCAUAGGUGUUAUAGAGAAAUGAUGAGCGGAGCAACUACGAUACAAUCAUUUAUUCGUGGUCAAAAAGCAAGACACAAUUUUGAUGUUUUGGCAAGGAGAUGGAGUGUGGCUAUUCUUAUCCAAAAGCAUGUGAGACGACGAAUUGCUAAGAGGAGAUUUGGCUACCAGCAGAAGAGCAUUGUUCUUUUGCAAUCUCUUAUUCGUGGUUGGUUGGCAAGAAAGAAUUUUGCUGGCUGGCAUAUUCAGGAAAUGCCAAAACAAAAUCAUGUGCUAGUAAAGGAAACUUCAGAAAUGAAUCUUCCUCGACCAGUUGAGGUUCACCUUACAAAUACCAAUGAACUUCACAAGAGGGCCCUGAUGGCAGAGGCAGCAUUGAGAAAAAAGGAAGAGGAAAAUGCUAUAUUGCAGCAAAGACUUAAACAAUAUGAGUCAACAUGGUUGCAAUAUGAACUAAAAAUGAAGUCAAUGGAGCAGACAUGGCAGAAACAGCUAUGUAAUUUGCAGUUAAGUUUAGCCACUGCACAAAGGAGCCUCCUUCCUGAUGAUAUGACAAGCCAAUCUGAUCGGUUGGAUAUGUACCCAAUUAACCACAGCUAUGAGUCAGAAGAUACAUCUUUCAGUGAUCAAACACCUGAAGAAACUCCUACUAAACACAUUAUAGAUGGUGAAAUAGCAAGGAACAUUGAUUACAGAAGUAUAGCGGUUAUUCAUCUUGUAAAGGAGUUUGAGAAACAUCGGCAGACAUUUGAGGAUGAUGCUGGAUCCAUUGCCAAAGUGAAGGUAGGGCAAGCAAGUUCUAAAGUGAAUCCUGUUGAAGAACUGCAAAAGUUAAAGGCGCGGUUUUCUAGCUGGAAAAAGGCUUACAAAUUGCGCCUGCGAGAGACAAAGGCAUUGCUUCAAAAGUAUGGUCAUCCAGAAGAAAAGGCAUCCAAAAAAUGGUGGAGCGUAAUAAGCACAAGAUAAGGUAGGUGUAACAUUGAAAAAAAUCACAUGAAGAAUAGAAUCAAAUCUUUGAAGAUCAACUUCUUCCUGUCAUCUUUUUAAAAAUGCAAGUUGGGUUCAGUGGAAUUUGGUGGCCAAGAUAUUUGAAGCAACAGAAGUCUAGAGAGUGUUGAUUAAGGGAAAGGCAAAAGCAUCAAGAACUUCAAGAACACAAGUAUGUUGGAUUAGUUCAAGGUAGGACAACCAACAAUAAGUGAAGGGGCCAAAGCAACAAGGAAAUGAUCAUGACAAAAACAAGUUGAAACUUAAGAUAUCCAUGAUGUAAUGGUUAAUGUAAACGGUGAUGGCAAUGACACCAGCUAUUCAAAGUGCUCAGACCAUCACAAUAACUAAUAACUUAAAAAAUGUAAUUAGUUACCAGUGUGUUAUGUUGGAACAAGAAGGUUUUGUGCAACUAUUACAGAGAACGAAAACUUGGAAGUUGGCAAGCAUUUGUGUACUGGAAGAUAGCAUUCUUGAUGUCAAAACGAGGACAAGCUUCAGUUUUUGAUAGGUUGCCCAAAGGCCAGGAAAUUGACUUUGAUUCAGUGGCUGUUGUUGCUAUGAAAGAGCUACAUAACUAAUUUUCUUGCUACAGUUUGUAUCACAUGUAUAUAUUUAAAAUGGUAUCAUCUGCAUUUUGUAUUGAAUGUUGUUUCAUUGGUCUGAUAUUUGAGUCAACUGUCAUUUAUAGCAGUUCUGUAAUAUGAACAACGAUAUGAUAGAUGUUUUAUCAAAGAAAAUUAUUGUGCUUGAAUA